Molecule: ribosomal RNA, 1413 nt
Filed under: Streptococcus salivarius
Lineage: Bacteria; Bacillati; Bacillota; Bacilli; Lactobacillales; Streptococcaceae
Description: bacterial SSU rRNA
Rfam family: Bacterial small subunit ribosomal RNA
Source: RNAcentral
UGCAGUAGAACGCUGAAGAGAGGAGCUUGCUCUUCUUGGAUGAGUUGCGAACGGGUGAGUAACGCGUAGGUAACCUGCCUUGUAGCGGGGGAUAACUAUUGGAAACGAUAGCUAAUACCGCAUAACAAUGGAUGACACAUGUCAUUUAUUUGAAAGGGGCAAUUGCUCCACUACAAGAUGGACCUGCGUUGUAUUAGCUAGUAGGUGAGGUAACGGCUCACCUAGGCGACGAUACAUAGCCGACCUGAGAGGGUGAUCGGCCACACUGGGACUGAGACACGGCCCAGACUCCUACGGGAGGCAGCAGUAGGGAAUCUUCGGCAAUGGGGGCAACCCUGACCGAGCAACGCCGCGUGAGUGAAGAAGGUUUUCGGAUCGUAAAGCUCUGUUGUAAGUCAAGAACGAGUGUGAGAGUGGAAAGUUCACACUGUGACGGUAGCUUACCAGAAAGGGACGGCUAACUACGUGCCAGCAGCCGCGGUAAUACGUAGGUCCCGAGCGUUGUCCGGAUUUAUUGGGCGUAAAGCGAGCGCAGGCGGUUUGAUAAGUCUGAAGUUAAAGGCUGUGGCUCAACCAUAGUUCGCUUUGGAAACUGUCAAACUUGAGUGCAGAAGGGGAGAGUGGAAUUCCAUGUGUAGCGGUGAAAUGCGUAGAUAUAUGGAGGAACACCGGUGGCGAAAGCGGCUCUCUGGUCUGUAACUGACGCUGAGGCUCGAAAGCGUGGGGAGCGAACAGGAUUAGAUACCCUGGUAGUCCACGCCGUAAACGAUGAGUGCUAGGUGUUGGAUCCUUUCCGGGAUUCAGUGCCGCAGCUAACGCAUUAAGCACUCCGCCUGGGGAGUACGACCGCAAGGUUGAAACUCAAAGGAAUUGACGGGGGCCCGCACAAGCGGUGGAGCAUGUGGUUUAAUUCGAAGCAACGCGAAGAACCUUACCAGGUCUUGACAUCCCGAUGCUAUUUCUAGAGAUAGAAAGUUACUUCGGUACAUCGGUGACAGGUGGUGCAUGGUUGUCGUCAGCUCGUGUCGUGAGAUGUUGGGUUAAGUCCCGCAACGAGCGCAACCCCUAUUGUUAGUUGCCAUCAUUCAGUUGGGCACUCUAGCGAGACUGCCGGUAAUAAACCGGAGGAAGGUGGGGAUGACGUCAAAUCAUCAUGCCCCUUAUGACCUGGGCUACACACGUGCUACAAUGGUUGGUACAACGAGUUGCGAGUCGGUGACGGCAAGCUAAUCUCUUAAAGCCAAUCUCAGUUCGGAUUGUAGGCUGCAACUCGCCUACAUGAAGUCGGAAUCGCUAGUAAUCGCGGAUCAGCACGCCGCGGUGAAUACGUUCCCGGGCCUUGUACACACCGCCCGUCACACCACGAGAGUUUGUAACACCCGAAGUCGGUGAGGUAACCUUUGGAGCCAGCCG